RNA transcript from Oncorhynchus masou masou (cherry salmon), 912 nucleotides. It is a transcript of the gene named CMRF35-like molecule 3, with no coding region annotated. The transcript has 5 exons. NCBI's taxonomy places the organism in Eukaryota, Metazoa, Chordata, Actinopteri, Salmoniformes, Salmonidae. The record is from RefSeq and is a predicted model, not a curated record.
CAGUGUACUAACAUUGGGAGGUAGAGUCAUUCUGGCUGGUGCCUUGGUCCUUGACACACAUUUGUGCUCAGGUACCAUUUAAUAUUACAUGCAGACUGAAACCCUCACAUGGCUAACCAUCUCUCCUUCCCCCUCCUCCUCUUCAUCAUCUUCUACAGAGUCUCAGCAGGGAGGCAUGUGUCUGUGCAGACAGGAGGCUCCAUCACCAUCCCAUGUAGCUAUGAUCAGUAUUACAUAAACCACGUGAAGUACUGGUGUAAAGGGUAUGGUUGGACUCAUUGCUCCUCUGUAGUACGCACUGACCAUCCUAAGAGCACUGAUAGGGCGUCAAUCUCUGAUGACAUCACCCAGAAAGUCUUCACUGUGAUCAUGACUGAUCUGGAGCCAGACGACUCUAAUACUUACAGGAUCCAUUUCCUGAAGCUGAUGAUGUCACAAACAGCACUGUCAUCUUCCUGCACAAGACCCAACUAAAAGGGCAGACCAAGUCAGCAGAACCAGAUGAUAAUGUGGUCUACAGCUCACUAGCUCUACAGGUGACCACACAGCAGAGGGCAGCAGCACAGCAGUGACUGACUGAAAAGACCUUGAUCGAGUCCUUAUCCUUUAAGGACAGAACACUCCCCUCUCCUGUGUUACAACAUCUAUCUGCAUCCAAUAUUCUUCUGUCAUACCUCUUAACCCACCACAGGUAGACCCUUCUAUCCUUUAGUGUAAUAAACUACUGAAGACAGUCUGCUGUGUUUGUUGUGAUUAUCAUCACAUUUCUGAUAAUAGUUAUGUUGCAUCAACCUUUCCCCUCUCUGGUUUCUUACAUCAUGAUCUUAUUGAUCUCAUCUAGUUAAAUGUCCUAUGCCUGUAACUAAUCAUGAUCAAACGUGUAUUAAGAUCUUAGUAUACUGAACUGCAAUA